Molecule: long non-coding RNA, 568 nt
Organism: Priapulus caudatus
Lineage: Eukaryota; Metazoa; Priapulida; Priapulimorpha; Priapulimorphida; Priapulidae
Exons: 2
Source: RefSeq, a predicted model, not a curated record
UUUUUUUUUUUAAGUGCCUAGUAGUCAUAUCCUAAGUGCCUAGUAGUCAUAUCCUAAGUGCCUAGUAGUCAUAUCAUAUCGCAUCUAAUUGCCGGGUGCCGGACAUCAUGUCCAUCACGUGACCUUAUCCUUCCCGGCCGCACGGACAGUGUUACACAGCCAGCUGAAUUAUGAUCAUGCAAGCAAGGAUGAGAGAGAUAAAUUGUGUGAGAGUGAGAGGUGGAGAGUGUGGGCCAGCGUGUGUGUGUGUGUGUGUGUGUGUGUGUGUGUGUGUGUGUGUGUGUGUGUGUGUGUGUGUGCGUGCUGGCAUGGACGGGUGGGAGCACCUUGAAGGCUGCAAGUGCAGAGGAGGCAUGUCUGAGCAGCCUUCACAUAUAACGGUGUUUCAUGCUAACAGCUGGCGCCAGUGUACAGAACCCUGGUAAUACUCGUGUGUAUAUGCGAAGCAACGUGUAUUUUUUAUGAUAGAUAGCCAGAUUUUUAUACGAAGAUGACGUCAUUUGAUUCGAUGUACAGAGUAAUCUCUAGCUUAUUGUGUUUUUAUAAUAAAUAACAUUUGAUAAUAAUA